RNAcentral lists this ribosomal RNA (448 nucleotides) under uncultured bacterium. RNAcentral's name for it is "SSU rRNA". It matches the Rfam family "Bacterial small subunit ribosomal RNA", at positions 26 to 518 of the family's 1533-position model. The record is from RNAcentral.
AGAGCGAACGCUGGCGGCAGGCUUAACACAUGCAAGUCGAGCGGGCGUAGCAAUACGUCAGCGGCAGACGGGUGAGUAACGCGUGGGAACAUACCUUUUGGUUCGGAACAACACAGGGAAACUUGUGCUAAUACCGGAUAAGCCCUUACGGGGAAAGAUUUAUCGCCGAAAGAUUGGCCCGCGUCUGAUUAGCUAGUUGGUGAGGUAACGGCUCACCAAGGCGACGAUCAGUAGCUGGUCUGAGAGGAUGAUCAGCCACAUUGGGACUGAGACACGGCCCAAACUCCUACGGGAGGCAGCAGUGGGAAUAUUGGACAAUGGGCGCAAGCCUGAUCCAGCCAUGCCGCGUGAGUGAUGAAGGCCCUAGGGUUGUAAAGCUCUUUUGUGCGGGAAGAUAAUGACGGUACCGCAAGAAUAAGCCCCGGCUAAACUUCGUGCCAGCAGCCGC